RNAcentral lists this ribosomal RNA (429 nucleotides) under uncultured bacterium. RNAcentral describes it as "bacterial SSU rRNA". It matches the Rfam family "Bacterial small subunit ribosomal RNA", at positions 355 to 776 of the family's 1533-position model. The record is from RNAcentral.
UAGGGAAUCUUCCGCAAUGGACGCAAGUCUGACGGAGCAACGCCGCGUGAGUGAAGAAGGUUUUCGGAUCGUAAAACUCUGUUAUAAGAGAAGAACAAGUUGUAGAGUAACUGUUGCAGCUUUGACGGUAUCUUAUCAGAAAGCCACGGCUAACUACGUGCCAGCAGCCGCGGUAAUACGUAGGUGGCAAGCGUUGUCCGGAUUUAUUGGGCGUAAAGGGAGCGCAGGUGGUCUCUUAAGUCUGAUGUGAAAGCCCACGGCUCAACCGUGGAGGGUCAUUGGAAACUGGGAAACUUGAGUACAGAAGAGGAAAGUGGAAUUCCAUGUGUAGCGGUGGAAUGCGUAGAUAUAUGGAGGAACACCAGUGGCGAAGGCGACUUUCUGGUCUGUUACUGACACUGAGGCUCGAAAGCGUGGGGAGCAAACAGG